This 24-nucleotide non-coding RNA is filed under the name Arabidopsis thaliana (thale cress). The record is from RNAcentral. Lineage: Eukaryota; Viridiplantae; Streptophyta; Magnoliopsida; Brassicales; Brassicaceae.
GGUAAGUGACCGGGAGACAAUUGC